AAAGCGUGCGCAGGCGGUUUUGUAAGUCUGUCGUGAAAUCCCCGGGCUCAACCUGGGAAUGGCGAUGGUGACUGCAAGGCUAGAGUUUGGCAGAGGGGGGUAGAAUUCCACGUGUAGCAGUGAAAUGCGUAGAUAUGUGGAGGAACACCGAUGGCGAAGGCAGCCCCCUGGGUCAAAACUGACGCUCAUGCACGAAAGCGUGGGGAGCAAACAGGAUUAGAUACCCGAGU
Molecule: ribosomal RNA, 230 nt
Filed under: uncultured bacterium
Lineage: Bacteria
Description: partial 16S ribosomal RNA
Rfam family: Bacterial small subunit ribosomal RNA
Source: RNAcentral